RNAcentral lists this ribosomal RNA (833 nucleotides) under uncultured bacterium. RNAcentral's name for it is "bacterial SSU rRNA". It matches the Rfam family "Bacterial small subunit ribosomal RNA", at positions 35 to 865 of the family's 1533-position model. The record is from RNAcentral.
GCUGGCGGCGUGCCUACACAUGCAUGUCGAGCGAGAAAGCUCCUUCGGGAGCAAGUAAAGCGGCAAACGGGUGAGUAACGCGUGGGAAUCUACCUUUCAGUGAGGAAUACCCUCGAGAAAUCGAGGUUAAUACUGCAUACGUCCCUCCGGGGAGAAAGGCGGCCUCUUUGCUGUCGCUGAAAGAUGAGCCUGCGUACUAUUAGCUAGUUGGUAGGGUAAUGGCCUACCAAGGCGAUGAUGGUUAGCCGGCCUGAGAGGGUGUACGGCCACACUGGAACUUAGACACGGUCCAGACUCCUACGGGAGGCAGCAGUGAGGAAUCUUGCUCAAUGGGCGAAAGCCUGAAGCAGCGACGCCGCGUGAAGGAUGACGGUCUUCGGAUUGUAAACUUCUGUUAAGUGGGAAGAAAUCUCUAUUUCUAAUACAAAUAGAGGAUGACGGUACCAUUAGAGAAAGCACUGGCUAAUCUCGAGCCAGCAGCCGCGGUAAUACGAGGGGUGCAAGCGUUAUUCGGAAUUAUUGGGCGUAAAGGGUGCGUAGACGGCACACUAAGUCAACUGUUAAAUCCCUCGGCCUAACCGAGGAUCAGCGGUAGAAACUGGUGAGCUUGAGGAUGAGAGAGAGAAGUGGAAUUCUCGGAGUAGCGGUAAAAUGCGUAGAUCUCGAGAGGAACACCGAUGGCGAAGGCAGCCUCUUGGCUCAUUCCUGACGUUGAGGCACGAAAGCGUGGGGAGCAAACAGGAUUAGAUACCCUGGUAGUCCACGCCGUAAACGAUGAUCACUGGACGUUAAUGUUGCUUUGCAAUAUUAGUGUCGUAGCUAACGCGAUAAGU